GCAGAACCAAUCCAGACAUUUGAUUCAGAGAUGUAUGUUUAGAAACAUUGACAAUGUAGCAGUCAGACAACACGGCGAAGACGAGACUAUUUACGAACAUUACAGAAAACGAGAAGAACAUACGCAACAGCAUUGUCUUAAUCUCAAAGAAAAAACACAGCAGCGUUGUCUUAAUCUCAAAACACACACACACACAACAGCAGCAUUGUCUCAACUUGUGUGCACCCAAAAGUUCCAGCAAAGCGCCUGAUUCAAAACGUGCAUCCCUGGCGUAGCGCCGAGACGCCAAAACCAUGAACCAAACAAAUUGCUUCAGAAAACAUCACAUCACUACAUUGUGAAUUCACCAACAUAUGCAGGGGUCCAUGCUUCACGGAGGCGAUUAUUCCUCACCAGCCAUACAGUCAGCUUGAGGUCUAAAUUUUCAUCAGUUCCUGAAAAGAAUCCAGGCAGUUCUGAUUCACUUUCUGAGGGCUCUUUAAUGGUUAACCCAAGAAUACUGCGAGUUCUUGUUCUAGCAUCAAGCAUAGUUAUUUUUAUUCAGAAGCUCAGUUCGAUAUGUGCCUAUUACCUCGCUUCAGGUUAUAGCGUAUAACCAGCAAACACUACGUCUUGUUAGACAAAAAGUCAACAAAUAGAUCAAAAAAGUACUUGUUCCUUCUGCUUCUGGAUGGAUUCGAUCUUUUUC
Molecule: long non-coding RNA, 688 nt
Filed under: Zea mays
Lineage: Eukaryota; Viridiplantae; Streptophyta; Magnoliopsida; Poales; Poaceae
Description: long non-coding RNA (ZMAY_LNC003363)
Source: RNAcentral